UUUCCACCAUGAAGAAAUGGAUGGAGGGGACGGGGUGCGGUGGGCAUUUGCUUCUGCAAUCGCGAACGAUGUCGAGGACGGAAGCCCUGCAAUCACAUUACAAAUGAAUUCCACUGCCAUUGAUCGAUUUCAAGUUCUUCUUCUACACUUCAUUCUCACGGAGCAGAAAGAAGAAGAAAAAUCGACGCAAUUCAAUAUAGGUAUAGUGGUGGAAGUCGAUGAUUUUUUUUAAUAAUGCUUUAUUUUAAACUUAUUCUAAAUAUAUAUCAACCCCAAACUAUUUCCUAGAAUAAUGUUUGGAAAAUUAUAGGUCGUCCCUCCACUCCACAAUUUCCGAGUUGCAUGGUGUCUUGUUGGCGUCAUAUAUAUAUAUAUAUAUUUUAUUCUGGCA
This is a non-coding RNA of Momordica charantia (bitter melon), 391 nucleotides long. The record is from RefSeq and is a predicted model, not a curated record. NCBI's taxonomy places the organism in Eukaryota, Viridiplantae, Streptophyta, Magnoliopsida, Cucurbitales, Cucurbitaceae.